UUCCAUAAUAAUUUUUUAAUGUGGUUAUGUACGUCUUCAUUUUUCUCAUUUUCAUUAAUAUGAAAGUUAUAAAUGAGUCGCCUUCUCGUAAUAUGGCACUUAAAAGAUAACAAAAUGAAUAAAAGGGAGUGUUCAAAAUUUUUCGAUGUAGAGAGGAGAGACCCCCAACUUUGGCUACUAGGAAAGGAAACCUGACUUGAAGGCUUGUUCCGCCACAUACAGUUCCUCACAGUCACCAGCAGGGGGAAAGUCGUGUUCUUUCUGUUUCCGAUGCAUCCCGGCGCCUCGCCGCUAAUUCCCCAACCGGAGGGAAAGGGAAGAGCCGGGCAGCUCCGGGUGGGUGUAACGUGGGAACUGGUUUAGAGCGGUCCCUUGGUACGGAAAGACCCCGCGAAAUAGGGUGUACGUCUUCCUAGCAGCCCUCUCUUUCCAGGCCCGCGGGGGAACUUGGCAAGGACUCCCUGCUGGCAGCUCGGCGGGGCAGGCGGGGUUGCGGCCGCUGCGGCGGGGCCCGGAGGGGAACCCAGGGGCUGCCGGCGCGGCUCCGCGGGACCUGGUGACCCGUGCCCGAGUCCGAGUGCGACCCAGUUUCAAGGUCAAGCCAUCACCUGAUGUGCUGAUGAGGACAUUCACUAUGUGACACAGUCUUUGCUUUAUGGGCGCCCUCAGGAGAAAUGUGACCUACUUGAAGAACAGGAAGAGGCACUUCUCAGCAUGAAACUUAUUUUUAUCUUAAGGACACUGUGAACCAGCCCCGCAGGAUGUCUGUUUCCCCAAGCCAAGCCAGGCGGCCCACCCGGAAGAGGAAGCGCGGCAGGUGCCUGCAGGCCGGGCUCCCACAGCACAGUGUGAGACCUCGGGCUACAACACGGGACCCGGGCGCUGCUCCUACCCUCGUGUCUUGUGUUGCAGCCGGAGGGACGCAGGUCCGCAGCAGAGCCUGCAGCGCCGCCGGGGACUCGACGCUGCGCGACGCGCGGAGACGGGGCAGCCCUAGACUGUUGGAGGGCGGGUGUAGCGCCCAGCGGAGUGGCGGGCCGGCACCCGCCGCCCGGGCACUGCGUGGUGCGUGGUCCGCCCCGUCAGGCGGGGUGUGGGGGUCUCUCCUCGCCCUGGUCCUCUUCGGCAGCUAUGCCAGCUCUCUGGUGGCACACCCGCGGGACCUGGGCUUGAGGAUUCUCUGUGCUCCUCACUCCCGGGCCCCAGGUCAGAUGGCCUAGGCUCCACAGUGAGGCUGGAAGGGCACCAAGGAAGGCAGUGGAUCCCCAAACCCUCUCGCGUUGGUGGGAAAGCCCAGCAUUAGACCUGAUUUUGAGACAGCAAGUGUUGCAAUUUCUGGAGUCGUCUGUUAAAGUGUAUUUUCUGCAAGAUCAUAGGUUAAACCACUGCAUCAACUGGGUUUCAUUGAUAACCUUACUUUCCCUCAUGACAGGGGCACAUGAGGGAAAGGAAAUUAGAUUGUACAUUUCAGGAAAGUGGCUCCAACAGAAGUAACCAAGCUGGAGGUGGGGGUCAGUCACCACACUGGGGCAGGAGCUGUGACACAGGGUCCAGGGAGUGACCCCUCCCUUCACAGCUGGGCUCUGCAGGUCACGUUUCUACAAAGCACCUGCUCCCCUGGGACAGGACCCCUCAGCCAGAUACGUCCAAAGGCAGGCAGCAGGCAGAAUUCCUUUUUCCUCAGGGGAGGUCAGUCUGUGUCUUAGUAAGGCCUUCUUUUAAUGGGUGAGGCCCACUCACACUACCUAGGGUAAUCUGCUUUACUCAAGUCCCUGCACUUAAAUGCUAAUCUCAUCCAAAAAAAAGUACUUUCACAGAAACAUCCAGAAUAAUGUUUGCCCAAAACUGGGCAUGGCAACCCAUCCAGUUGACACAUUAAAUUAACCACCAUACCUCUCCAUCAUAAUUUCUUAAAUUUCUUGAAGGCUGAACAUUCCUAUGGUCUCCAAACUAUAUGUCUCCUAAAUUUGGUCAGUUUAUGAGUCAUCAGGCCACCUCACAUGUGCUGGUAGUGUGAGACUCAGCCCCCAUCACCAAGAUACUCCAAAACUACACCAACUGAACCCCAUUCACACAAGGCCUGUGUGGGUGUAACAGACCACAGUGGGUAUCUUGGGAGGCGGGAUGGGUACUUCUUCAGCACAGCAAACCACUUCCAAUUGCACAGUAAAACCAUUUGGCCCACUCCCUUCUCUCCUCCUUCUUGUCUGUUUUCUUCUACCCCCUCAAAAUUAUCACUCAUUUCUAAUAAAAAUCAAUCUAGAUGUUUCUGUUACUUGAAUUCUGCCAAACCACACCUCUGGGAUCUCUUUCCAUUCCAGGGUAUUUUCCUACUUAAAGACAAUUGCCAAAGAAUCUCAGUACCAGAGGCAGGCCAUUACUUCAUCUUGAUCCUCUCAACAACCUGGUUUUCCAUCAGUUUGGAUUUUAUUCUACUCUCUUCCAGAUCCAUUCAAGAGAAGGAAAAACGCCGAACCUAUUUACAUUUAAGAACUAGUAAAUUUAUUAUAAAAGAGGAGGCCCUUAAACACCACAAAAUUGAUGAAAAGUGAGGAAUAAAGAAUGCUUUUUACUUAGGACCUGGGGCAGGUGUGGAAGAGCUGUCCCCUAUGUUACUGCACUGGACCUUAAUAUCGUACCACUACACAAACAAUGUAAGAAUCUUACAAUAGUAUUUAACCUAACUUCUUUCGUUGUGCUAUUUUUGUUGUAUAUUUUAUUUCUAUAUUCGUUACAUACCCUUUUUACACUGUUACAACUUUUGCUUUAAAUUGUCCACAGUUCUUCAAAAUCUCUUGCUUUGGAAAUAUAGACUCAUAGGAUAUUGCAGAAUUAGAGAAUCCUAUGUAUCCUUUACCCAUUUCCCCCCAGUAAUAACAUUUUACCUAACUAGAGUACAAUCCCAAACCAGGAAAUUGAUAUUGGAAAUUCUGUUAAUUGUGCCUUAUUCCGAUUUCACCGGUUUUCACAGAUGAGUGUGUAUGUGUGUGUAUCAUAAUUCUGUGCAAUUAACCACAUGUAUAGAUUUAUAAAACUACACUCCAAGUAAAAUACUUCACGACUGAGGAAUUCCCUUUACUUCUUUGUAAUCACACUCUCUACCUCCACACAAAUCCCUAUCCUCUUGCAACCAUUAAUUUGUUCUUCAUCUCUAUAAUUCUGCCAUUUUGAGAAUAUUAUAUAAAUGGAGUCAUACAGAAUAUUGCAUACAGAUCUAUGCAGUAUGUAUCAUGCAUCAUGUUUGUUCUUGUUUAUUGCUGAGUAAUAUUCCAUCAUACCAAUCUGUUCCUCCAUUCACCCACUGAAGGAUAUAUGGACUGUUUCCAUAUGUUGGCUAUUAUGAAUAA
Manis javanica (Malayan pangolin) is the source of this 3347-nucleotide non-coding RNA. The record is from RefSeq and is a predicted model, not a curated record. Lineage: Eukaryota; Metazoa; Chordata; Mammalia; Pholidota; Manidae.